AUGCAACCCAGAAAGAAGGGAACUCCCCCAAAAAAGGGGAGCUACCACUUUGCUAUUCAAGCGGCCGGGUUUAAUAAGGGAACUCCACCUCCCCCUCCUUCCCUCAAACACUGGUGUAAAGCAAUGGCUCCAUUUUCUGUUCCGGGAAUCCUGGUACUUCCUAAAGAAAGAGAGCGGAUUGGAAGACACAAACUCAAAAGCCAAGCGACAAGCUGCUCCCUCCUCCUGGGAGACCGCCCCCGCUUUGCCUGGGGGAGGAAGGCACCACCGCUCCUCUCCCAGCGAGAUCUGAUCCCCCCCCACCCCCUUCUGCUGCUGCUGCUCCUCCAGCUCCCCACCUGCUGCCCUCUUCUCAACGUGCGGUUCCCAAGACCCAAAGCGCAACCUCUACGGGAACAGCGCCCCUGGGGGUGGGGGUGGAGGGUGGGGGGUGGCCCACUAGCUUCCCCCGGCCAACUGAUCCCUAAACCCCUUACGCACUUCUGCCCCACGAAGGGAGUACAGGGUGUCACCGCAGCAAGGCUCUGGUCUUCUAGUACUAAGGUGGAGCAGGAGGGAGGGGGCGAAAAAGCGGCGUUCUCUAGCCCUUUAACAGGAAAAGGAUACAGAAGAGUCAUCACCGCCCCCGCACCACCUCUCUGGACUGUUUUCCUCCACCGCGACCCCGACCCCGACCCCGACCCCUCUCGGGAGCCCACCUCCUACAGGCGAGGGGAACCUAACUGCAGCCCGGGUCGCCCCCGGCCUGCCAGGCAGAGCACCCAUUCGUGUGCGCCCCCCACCCCCACCCCCACCCCAGCUCCGCGUCCUUCAAAUGUGGGGGCAGGCGAGAGACCGGCCCGGCACCCCCUCCCCGAGCUCCCGGGUGGGAAGCACCACGCCGCCUCGGGCCCGGCAGGCCGGGGGGCGGGGGUCUGCCUCCUCGGCCCCCACCCCGAGCCUCUCCUCCGCGGGGACCCGCCUUCCUUUCCCCAGCCCCUCACCUGUUCCUGCUCCCAGCUCCGCCGCCGCAGCCGCCGCCUCCGCCCCCGCAGGUUCCGCUCGGCGCUGGUUCCGUUCCCUCCGACUCCCCCCGGCCGAUUCCGGCACGGCUGCUCCCCUGGCCGCGCUCCCCGGCUCCCUCCUUCCUUCCCUCCACCUAGCACCGGAAGCCGCGACGGCGACAGGAGCUGUGCGGCGCACCCCCACCCCCAGACCGGGAUACUUCCCACCUCCCCGAUCGCGCGAGAGCUGCGCGGUGGCGAGCGGCAGUUCUCGCGAGAGGGCCGUCACCAUGGCAGCGGCUGCAGCAGAGGCAGCCGGGUGUCGGAGCCGGAGCCCGGGCGGGGGCCGACGUGGGGGCUGCAGGCGGCGGGAAGUGGGGAUGCGGCCGUGGGGCCUGAGGUGGGAAUCCCGAGCCCCGGGGCCGUGCCUGGAAUUUAA
RNAcentral lists this long non-coding RNA (1422 nucleotides) under Vulpes vulpes (red fox). RNAcentral's name for it is "lncRNA (ENSVVUG00000019689.1)". Lineage: Eukaryota; Metazoa; Chordata; Mammalia; Carnivora; Canidae. The record is from RNAcentral.